Molecule: ribosomal RNA, 492 nt
Filed under: uncultured bacterium
Lineage: Bacteria
Description: partial 16S ribosomal RNA
Rfam family: Bacterial small subunit ribosomal RNA
Source: RNAcentral
AGUGAACGCUGGCGGUAGGCCUAACACAUGCAAGUCGAACGGCAGCACAGUAAGAGCUUGCUCUUACGGGUGGCGAGUGGCGGACGGGUGAGGAAUACAUCGGAAUCUACUUUUUCGUGGGGGAUAACGUAGGGAAACUUACGCUAAUACCGCAUAUGACCUACGGGUGAAAGCAGGGGAUCUUCGGACCUUGCGCGAUUGAAUGAGCCGAUGUUGGAUUAGCUAGUUGGCGGGGUAAGGGCCCACCAAGGCGACGAUCCGUAGCUGGUCUGAGAGGAUGAUCAGCCACACUGGAACUGAGACACGGUCCAGACUCCUACGGGAGGCAGCAGUGGGGAAUAUUGGACAAUGGGCGCAAGCCUGAUCCAGCCAUACCGCGUGGGUGAAGAAGGCCUUCGGGUUGUAAAGCCCUUUUGUUGGGAAAGAAAAGCAGCAGGUUAAUACCCCGCUGUUCUGACGGUACCCAAAGAAUAAGCACCGGCUAACUUCGUG